Parasteatoda tepidariorum (common house spider) is the source of this 439-nucleotide non-coding RNA. The record is from RefSeq and is a predicted model, not a curated record. NCBI's taxonomy places the organism in Eukaryota, Metazoa, Arthropoda, Arachnida, Araneae, Theridiidae.
AGAUCGUUUUGAUCCGUUUGGUUUAUCUCAAGCAAAUUCUAAUCAAGCUCCUUCUAUGGACAGGAUGUUGUCUUUAUGAUAGAGAAUAGUAAUUUGUGAUUCGUCAUAGCUCUGGUACGUAACUCACGCUACCUUUUGAAAACUUCAUGAAAAUACAAAUUCAACCAAGAUUCGACAUUUUAGCUUUUUAAAGGAUCUUAAAAGAAAUGUUGGAAAAGUGAUUGUUAAAAUCGAAAAGUCGCAGAAUUAUUUCGAAAAUUAUGGUGUGCUAUGAACUGAAAGGAGCGCCUCAUGUUAUGAUGUUGAACAAUUCACGUCACCAAGGAGAACUGAGUGAAAAAGUUAAUUUGAAAGAUCAUUUGCGAUGAAGUAAACGAGAACUGUAAAGACAGCCAAGUUAACUUUUUAAAAUUUUUAUUAUACUUCAUUUAUAUUUCAU